GACGAACGCUGGCGGCGCGCCUAACACAUGCAAGUCGAGCGAGAACCAGGGCUUCGGUCCUGGGGACAGCGGCGAACGGGUGAGUAUCACGUGGGUAACCUGCCCUCGGCACCGGGAUAGCCCGGGGAAACUCGGAUUAAUACCGGACAGCCUCACUAGCCCUCGGGCGAGUGAGAAAAGGUGGCUUCGGCUUCCGGCUGAGGAUGGGCCCGCGGCCGAUUAGCUUGUUGGUGGGGUAAUGGCUCACCAAGGCUCCGAUCGGUAGCUGGUCUGAGAGGACGAUCAGCCACACUGGGACUGAGACACGGCCCAGACUCCUACGGGAGGCAGCAGUGGGGAAUCUUGCGCAAUGGGCGAAAGCCUGACGCAGCAACGCCGCGUGCGGGAAGAAGGCCUUCGGGUUGUAAACCCCUUUCAGUUGGGACGAAGCUCCGCCGGUGAAUAGCCGGCUGGAGUGACGGUACCUUCACAAGAAGCCCCGGCUAACUACGUGCCAGCAGCCGCAGUAAAAC
This 512-nucleotide ribosomal RNA is filed under the name uncultured bacterium. RNAcentral describes it as "bacterial SSU rRNA". It matches the Rfam family "Bacterial small subunit ribosomal RNA", at positions 28 to 526 of the family's 1533-position model. The record is from RNAcentral.